Molecule: long non-coding RNA, 1131 nt
Filed under: Homo sapiens (human)
Lineage: Eukaryota; Metazoa; Chordata; Mammalia; Primates; Hominidae
Description: non-protein coding TMEM246-AS1:10
Source: RNAcentral
CAGGAGACCAGAUCCAACUCGCAAUCAGCUAUAGUGAAGUUAUGAUAUGAGAAGCACCAACUUGGCACAAGACUUGGGAAAGGCAAUGAGGCAGCAGGCAAGCUUUAAGGGAUGACACUUACCUUGAGGGAGCAAGGACAAGUUGUGACCUUCCCAGUCCUCUCUCCAUUUGCAGAUCAGCAAGCUUCUGUCAGCAAGGAGGGGUGGACAAUGAAACUGGGUUCAGCUUGAUUUGUUUUUUGAGACAGGUAUGGCAAGGGGCUGCCAACAAGACAUGUCUAUGCAAUACACUCAGUCACAAGAGAGAGCUUCUUAAGCCUGACCAUAAUUUAAACUCUGAAAGGUGAGUGAGCCUGUUAAGAGACCUCCACCCUUCUAGUAACCUAUAUCCCUUGAUAUGGGAAGGAUAUCUUAGUUCUCCCUAGCCCCUUGCUUAGGAUUAAGUGAGAGACUUCAGCUUUGGUGUAAAGCUGUCAGCUGCCCUAAUCAAGGACAAUACACAAAAAUUAGACUCCUUAUAAGAAUAAGGGAUUAAAUGGAGGAAGAUCUAGAAGUGGGUGGGAACAAAAGAGCAGAACUGAGCCUGCAUCUGCAGAAAAUGUCCAAAGACAACUGGCAGAGUUCACUCCAUGGGGAAAAGGCAUGUUAGUGUGUAGGUAGAGAAACUGGACAAGGAAGGAUGGCCUUAGCCUUCCAUAAUGGAGAAGUCGGGCAGGGGAUGUCUGCAUGCAAUAGACAACUGAAUUAGAAAGAGCAGAAAUGUAAACCAGCAGUGCUUCCCUAUCUUGGGCCUGGCUAGCUUAAAGGGGCUCUACUGUCAUUGGUCAAAAAACUUUCAUGAGGAGAUCCAAUCACUAAUGCAACAAACUCUAAUGAGUUCUAAGUUGGAGAGAGCUCAGUUCUAAAGCUUGGGGGUAGACAGGUCACUGAGAGAGGAGGAAUGAAGGAGUGGGAUCUGAACAUUGUAAUAAGUCAUCUAGUAGCUCUGAUCACUUUGGACAUUGCUGGGGGAUACAUAACAGCUCACUAUAACAUUACAACACAUACUUAUAUCUGUUUGCUCCUCCAAACUAACAUGACAAUGUGUUUCUGCCAUCUUAGCUUACAGAGACAUGAUCUAGUUCAGCUUAU